CCUACGGGUGGCAGCAGUGGGGAAUAUUGGGCAAUGGGCGCAAGCCUGACCCAGCAACGCCGCGUGAAGGAAGAAGGCUUUCGGGUUGUAAACUUCUUUUCUCAGGGACGAAGCAAGUGACGGUACCUGAGGAAUAAGCCACGGCUAACUACGUGCCAGCCGCCGCGGUAAUCCGUAGGGGGCAAGCGUUAUCCGGAUUUACUGGGUGUAACGGGCGUGUAGGCGGGAAAGCAAGUCAGAGGUGAAAACCAUGUGCUCAACCUGUGGCCUGCAUUUGAAACUGUUUUUCUUGAGUACUGGAGAGGCAGACGGAAUUCCUAGUGUAGCGGUGAAAUGCGUAGAUAUUAGGAGGAACACCAGUGGCGAAGGCGGUCUGCUGGACAGCAACUGACGCUGAGGCGCGAAAGCGUGGGGAGCAAACAGGAUUAGAUACCCCUGUAGUC
Molecule: ribosomal RNA, 443 nt
Filed under: uncultured bacterium
Lineage: Bacteria
Description: partial 16S ribosomal RNA
Rfam family: Bacterial small subunit ribosomal RNA
Source: RNAcentral